Molecule: ribosomal RNA, 775 nt
Filed under: uncultured bacterium
Lineage: Bacteria
Description: bacterial SSU rRNA
Rfam family: Bacterial small subunit ribosomal RNA
Source: RNAcentral
AGAGUUUGAUCAUGGCUCAGAUGAACGCUGGCGGCGUGCUUAACACAUGCAAGUCGAACGGGAUCCAUCAAGCUUGCUUGAUGGUGAGAGUGGCGAACGGGUGAGUAAUGCGUGACUAACCUGCCUCAUACACCGGAAUAGCUCCUGGAAACGGGUGGUAAUGCCGGAUGCUCCAACAUUUCACAUGUUUUGUUGGGAAAGCGUUAGCGGUAUGAGAUGGGGUCGCGUCCUAUCAGCUUGUUGGUGAGGUAAUGGCUCACCAAGGCUUCGACGGGUAGCCGGCCUGAGAGGGCGACCGGCCACAUUGGGACUGAGAUACGGCCCAGACUCCUACGGGAGGCAGCAGUGGGGAAUAUUGCACAAUGGGCGAAAGCCUGAUGCAGCGACGCCGCGUGCGGGAUGAAGGCCUUCGGGUUGUAAACCGCUUUUAAUUGGGAGCAAGCGAGAGUGAGUGUACCUUUUGAAUAAGCACCGGCUAACUACGUGCCAGCAGCCGCGGUAAUACGUAGGGUGCAAGCGUUAUCCGGAAUUAUUGGGCGUAAAGAGCUCGUAGGCGGUUUGUCACGCCUGGUGUGAAAGUCCAUCGCUUAACGGUGGAUCUGCGCCGGGUACGGGCAGGCUAGGGUGCAGUAGGGGAGAUUGGAAUUCCCGGUGUAACGGUGGAAUGUGUAGAUAUCGGGAAGAACACCAAUGGCGAAGGCAGAUCUCUGGGCUGUUACUGACGCUGAGGAGCGAAAGCAUGGGGAGCGAACAGGAUUAGAUACCCUGGUAGUCC